GUAGAUCUGGUUAGCAUUCGUUUAGGAUUUAAGGCAUAAAUACGCAAUUUCACAAAGUGCGUUAUCUUAUUAUAAUGUCAAAAAAUUCAUUUACAGUUGCACUGAGACAUUUAUUUCGAUUAAAUCAAAUUUAAUUUAUCUGGUAAAUUAUACAAUUGUUGCUGUUUAUCAUAUAUAUCUUGACAGUGCACUAUGUUCAUUAUCUGACAAACCGAUUGCUCCUGGUUUUGUAUUUAAAAGCUUACCCGUUAAAUUCCAUCCUUCAGAUAUGCAUUUUUUUUGGUUGAAUAAACUAGCGACUUGAAAUGUAAAAAUAAUUUAUGUUGCUGAGAAGUGUAAAUGAUUCAGAAUCCACAUCUAUUUAUUGGAUUUACCGCAGUUGUAGGGAAACUGUCGAAUUAUUGAUGACAAGUUCUCCAAAACUCUUUGCAAACAAGUUUCAAUGUAUGAAAUUGAUUCCAAACAGUAAAGAAUUAUUAUGCUCAUAAAGAUUAUCAUAGCCAUGUUUCGAGAGUUUAGAUAAGCAGCCGAAAUCUAUGCAAACUGGCCUGCAAAAGACAACAAAUCUUCGUCAUUAAGAUAUUGGGCCAUAAUUUGAAUUCCCAUUGGAAGCCCAUUGUUCAAAGUACCGAAAGGUAUGCUAACGGAUGGUAUUCCAGCCAUAUUCGCUGGAACUAACAUAGUAUCUGAAAGAUGACUAUAAGAGGACGGGGUUUCAAUGGGUUGACUGGAAUUAAAAAAAGAAGGGGUAACUAUGAAAUCGAUGUCACCCCUGGGAUCAUCGACAGAAAAGGAAGGUAGAAAAAAGUUUUUGUUGAAUUCCAGCUGUAUGGCUCGGCGAACGUAUCGAGCCUUAGAAAACAAAUCAGAGGAAUUCCUAUUUGUAAAUAUUAGUAACUACUUAGUAAAUCAGUUAUAUCAUACAUUCUUGCUAGUGAAUAAGCGCCUAGCAGUAGCCUCUUUUUCACUUCGUCUCCUAAAAAAAAAGAGCGUGCAGUAGAUGAAAUUAUUUCCUCUUCGAACUUUUCAUCUAAACAAUUGCCAAAUGCGAUAGUAUUAUAUUUAGCCAAAUUUGAAGUCGCUUCUGCAUAAGCCAUUGUGGAAUAUACACUGUUAGCGUAUAAUGAAAUUGGAAGCUGUAUUUCUUGGACAAGAUAACCAUUUGAUUUCAGAAGAGAUAUGAAUUCAUUCCACUUAUCUAAAACGUUUGGAUGAGUCUCAGAAACAUUCCAGUCAAUUGGAAUUCCUAUUUUAAUUGGCUUCCGCGAUAAUUUUUUGUGCUGCUCUUUAACAAAAUAACGAGCUUCUUUAGUUAAACAGGUUGAGUCAUUUAUGUCGGGAUGGUCUAAAACAUUAAAUACUUUGGUAACGCCCUUAACAUUAUUUGCAGCGAUACCCACUGUGUCAAAACUAUUGGCAAAGGCAAGCAUUCCAUAUCUCGAAAUCCUGCCGAAAGAUGGUUUAAAACCUACACAACCUACGUAAGCAGCAGGUAGACGGAUUGAUCCUCCUGUGUCUGAACCAACUGAUGCAUAACAUAUAUCCGCCGCGAUUGCAGCAGCAGCUCCUCCCGAGCUGCCCCCAACAUCGUAAUUACUAUCCUUAACAACAGGAUUAACAGUGCGACCAAAAAGAUUGUUUUCGCUCUUGACUCCCAUUGCAAACUCAUCCAUAUUUGUUUUACCAAGAAUAAUACCGCCGGCUUUCUUCAAGCUUUCGACAAUUGACGCAUCAAACGGAGAAUUGUAGUCUAGUUAAACCGCAAUUAGUAACUGAAAUAUAUUCUUAUUGUCUACCCUUCAACAUAUUAGAGGCUGCCGUGGUUAAAUUUGUCUUCGUGCAAAUAUUUUCCUUUACUGUAAUCAGUUUCCAUUUUAACGGAAGCUUCUUUUCCAGUGGUAAUUUACUAAUUUCAACAAAUGAAUCAUAUAGAUAUUCGGCACUAUUUAUUGAAGUUAAAGACUUAAUUUUCGCAUCAUUUAGAAUGAUACUAG
Schizosaccharomyces pombe (fission yeast) is the source of this 1994-nucleotide non-coding RNA. Lineage: Eukaryota; Fungi; Ascomycota; Schizosaccharomycetes; Schizosaccharomycetales; Schizosaccharomycetaceae. The record is from the annotation of a GenBank genome assembly.